This 253-nucleotide ribosomal RNA is filed under the name uncultured bacterium. RNAcentral's name for it is "partial 16S ribosomal RNA". It matches the Rfam family "Bacterial small subunit ribosomal RNA", at positions 524 to 776 of the family's 1533-position model. The record is from RNAcentral.
UACAGAGGUCCCGAGCGUUGUUCGGAUUCAUUGGGCGUAAAGGGUGCGUAGGCGGCGCGGUAAGUCGGGUGUGAAAUCUCGGAGCUUAACUCCGAAACUGCAUUCGAUACUGCCGUGCUUGAGGACUGGAGAGGAGACUGGAAUUCACGGUGUAGCAGUGAAAUGCGUAGGUAUCGUGAGGAAGACCAGUGGCGAAGGCGGGUCUCUGGACAGUUCCUGACGCUGAGGCGCGAAGGCCAGGGGAGCAAACGGG